Molecule: ribosomal RNA, 460 nt
Filed under: uncultured bacterium
Lineage: Bacteria
Description: bacterial SSU rRNA
Rfam family: Bacterial small subunit ribosomal RNA
Source: RNAcentral
CAUGCAAGUCGAACGGCAGCACGGGUAGCUUGCACCUGGUGGCGAGUGGCGAACGGGUGAGUAAUGCAUCGGAACGUACUAUCAGUGGGGGAUAACACAUCGAAAGAUGUGCUAAUACCGCAUAUUAUCCGAGGAUGAAAGCGGGGGACCUUAGGGCCUCGCGCUGAUAGAGCGGCCGAUGUCGGAUUAGCUAGUUGGUGAGGUAAAGGCUCACCAAGGCGACGAUCUGUAGCGGGUCUGAGAGGAUGAUCCGCCACACUGGGACUGAGACACGGCCCAGACUCCUACGGGAGGCAGCAGUGGGGAAUUUUGGACAAUGGGCGAAAGCCUGAUCCAGCCAUGCCGCGUGAGUGAAGAAGGCCUUCGGGUUGUAAAGCUCUUUCGGCUGGGAAGAAAUCGCACAGGCUAAUACUCUGUGUGGAUGACGGUACCAGCACAAGAAGCACCGGCUAACUACGUG